RNAcentral lists this ribosomal RNA (433 nucleotides) under uncultured bacterium. RNAcentral describes it as "partial 16S ribosomal RNA". It matches the Rfam family "Bacterial small subunit ribosomal RNA", at positions 29 to 507 of the family's 1533-position model. The record is from RNAcentral.
AACGAACGCUGGCGGCAUGCCUAACACAUGCAAGUCGAACGAGACCUUCGGGUCUAGUGGCGCACGGGUGCGUAACGCGUGGGAACCUGCCCUUAGGUUCGGAAUAACUCCCCGAAAGGGGUGCUAAUACCGGAUAAUGUCUUCGGACCAAAGAUUUAUCGCCUUUGGGUGGGCCCGCGUUGGAUUAGCUAGUUGGUAGGGUAAAAGCCUACCAAGGCGACGAUCCAUAGCGGGUCUGAGAGGAUGAUCAGCCACACUGGGACUGAGACACGGCCCAGACUCCUACGGGAGGCAGCAGUGGGGAAUAUAGGACAAUGGGCGAAAGCCUGAUCCAGCAAUGCCGCGUGAGUGAUGAAGGCCUGAGGGUUGUAAAGCUCUUUUACCCGGGAUGAUAAUGACAGUACCGAGAGAAUAAGCUCCGGCUAACUCCGUG